This 468-nucleotide ribosomal RNA is filed under the name uncultured bacterium. RNAcentral describes it as "partial 16S ribosomal RNA". It matches the Rfam family "Bacterial small subunit ribosomal RNA", at positions 28 to 507 of the family's 1533-position model. The record is from RNAcentral.
GACGAACGCUGGCGGCGUGCUUAACACAUGCAAGUCGAACGGAAAGGCCCUGCUUUUGUGGGGUGCUCGAGUGGCGAACGGGUGAGUAACACGUGAGUAACCUGCCCUUGACUUUGGGAUAACUUCAGGAAACUGGGGCUAAUACCGGAUAGGAGCUCCUGCUGCAUGGUGGGGGUUGGAAAGUUUCGGCGGUUGGGGAUGGACUCGCGGCUUAUCAGCUAGUUGGUGGGGUAGUGGCUUACCAAGGCUUUGACGGGUAGCCGGCCUGAGAGGGUGACCGGCCACAUUGGGACUGAGAUACGGCCCAGACCCCUACGGGAGGCAGCAGUGGGGAAUAUUGCACAAUGGGCGGAAGCCUGAUGCAGCAACGCCGCGUGCGGGAUGACGGCCUUCGGGUUGUAAACCGCUUUCGCCUGUGACGAAGCGUGAGUGACGGUAAUGGGUAAAGAAGCACCGGCUAACUACGUG